RNAcentral lists this ribosomal RNA (259 nucleotides) under uncultured bacterium. RNAcentral's name for it is "partial 16S ribosomal RNA". It matches the Rfam family "Bacterial small subunit ribosomal RNA", at positions 57 to 305 of the family's 1533-position model. The record is from RNAcentral.
GCAAGUCGAGCGACGCAUAUUCGGUGGGUAACCACUGGGUAUGACGGAGCGGCGAACGGGUGAGUAUCACGUGAGUAACCUGCCCCGAAGAACGGGAUAGCCCGGGGAAACCCGGAUUAAUACCGAAUACCCUCCCUGGAUCGCAUGAUCCGCUGAGGAAAUGCCUUUGUGCUUCGGGAUGGACUCGCGGCCUAGCAGCUAGUUGGUGAGGUAACGGCUCACCAAGGCGACGACGGGUAGCUGGUCUGAGAGGACGAUC